GUGUACUGGUCCGGCCGGGCCUUUCCUUCUGGGGAACCUCAUGCCCUUCACUGGGCGUGCUGGGGAACCAGGACUUUUACUUUGAAAAAAUUAGAGUGUUCAAAGCAGGCCUUUGCUCGAAUACAUUAGCAUGGAAUAAUAGAAUAGGACGUGUGGUUCUAUUUUGUUGGUUUCUAGGACCGCCGUAAUGAUUAAUAGGGAUAGUCGGGGGCAUCAGUAUUCAAGCGUCAGAGGUGAAAUUCUUGGAUUGCUUGAAGACUAACUACUGCGAAAGCAUUUGCCAAGGAUGUUUUCAUUAAUCAGUGAACGAAAGUUAGGGGAUCGAAGACGAUCAGAUACCGUCGUAGUCUUAACCAUAAACUAUGCCGACUAGGGAUCGGACGGUGUUAGUAUUUUGACCCGUUCGGCACCUUACGAGAAAUCAAAGUUUUUGGGUUCUGGGGGGAGUAUGGUCGCAAGGCUGAAACUUAAAGAAAUUGACGGAAGGGCACCACCAGGCGUGGAGCCUGCGGCUUANUUUGACUCAACACGGGGAAACUCACCAGGUCCAGACACAAUAAGGAUUGACAGAUUGAGAGCUCUUUCUUGAUUUUGUGGGUGGUGGUGCAUGGCCGUUCUUAGUUGGUGGAGUGAUUUGUCUGCUUAAUUGC
This 650-nucleotide ribosomal RNA is filed under the name Cladosporium sp. C4-C. Its description in RNAcentral is "SSU rRNA". It matches the Rfam family "Eukaryotic small subunit ribosomal RNA", at positions 673 to 1326 of the family's 1831-position model. The record is from RNAcentral. Lineage: Eukaryota; Fungi; Ascomycota; Dothideomycetes; Cladosporiales; Cladosporiaceae.